This is a long non-coding RNA of Portunus trituberculatus (swimming crab), 1783 nucleotides long. RefSeq lists it as uncharacterized. NCBI's taxonomy places the organism in Eukaryota, Metazoa, Arthropoda, Malacostraca, Decapoda, Portunidae. The transcript is spliced from 3 exons. The record is from RefSeq and is a predicted model, not a curated record.
AAUGGCUGAUUUUCAUCAGAAGUACAUGUGCUACAGAAUGUUAGGCUCUAGUCCGAUGCUUUUGGAUCAUGCAGUAUAUUUCCUUUAUUCAGGCGAUAUAGUGAAAAAUGGUAGCGUAAUAGAUAUUGAGAAGGAUCUUCCAGGAUUGAAAGAACAGUGUCUGAAUUUAUUCACAAAGCACCAUUUGAAUACUGCAUAUCCACUAACAGGUUACAUAUCACCUGAAGUUUGCCUUCAUGGGCACACCUAUAAACCUGGAAUUAUUUUGCAUCUUAAUUAUGUAAAAGGUGUUCCAACUUUUGGUCUUGUGCUUCAAAACCUCAUACAUGACAGCAUGAAGUUUUUCAUAUUGGAAAACUUGAUUACUUCAGGAUUUGAUGGCCAUUAUAAUGCAUAUGUUUUGAAAGCUACUGGAAAUAAAGUAGUACAGAGUUUUAUUGAUAUUGAAAACAAGUGGCCUUUGAGUGUAUACCAUGUCAACAAUGAAAUGUAUGUUACUAACCGAUAUUGUCACUUUGUUGAAUUUAUAUAGACCUAUGGUAACAGUCAUGAGCAUGACGUUACACUGCAUCAUAGGAGAAGGAAAACUCUGAUAUAAAACCACCUGCUGCUUUAUAGGUUGUGUCUACAUAUUUAAGGCUGUAUCACACGUGCACAUUUUCCUGCGACAUCGUGUUGUGCAACAUCAUUUCCGACGACCUGCCGUCCUCGGAAAUGAUCAAAGACCGUCGUUUAUUUUUCUGCGACUACAACAAUUAAACAAUUGUCUUUGAUAAUUUCCAAGGAUGGCAGGUCGUCGUAAAUGUUGUCGCAGGAAAAUGUGCCUGUGUGAUAUGGCCUUAAGAUGAAUUGUAGGAGAAGGAUCACUCUAUUAAACAAAUAAUUAAGUGCGAGGGGGACAGGAUCCCCUACACUGUAUGGUCUCCCAGAAACAGUGGGCACACCACACACAGAGAGUGGAGUGUAUAGACACCCUUAAAACCACUAGAUUGCGCCCUCUCUGGGGUGUACCCUUUUGGCCUAGGUAUAUAGAUGGAUGGAUUGUAACAAACUAAUGAAAAAAAGUAAAAAAGAUAAGAAAAAACAUGGAAGGGCAAUUUAACCUAAACCUAUCGGAAUUAUUAAACGCUUCAUAUCAGUCAGUAUCUAUGAUGCAUUUGUGUGUUCCAUUGUGUGAAGCAUAUAUGUAUGUAUGCAUAUAUGUCAAAACUGAUUUACAACUGUCUCAACUUUAUUCCUAAAAAUGCUCCAGAAUGCCAGUUUUCCGUAUUUGGUGUGCUGAUCGCAUCAUAAGGAAAUCGGUUGUGUCAGUAGCAGAAAUUGAAGAACUAAAGAAAAAAAGCAACACAAAAACUCGGUUUGGAGUUGGUAGGACCUACGAAGUUAGUUCUAGAGAAAUGUGGUACAGAAGUGGACGACGAUGAGGUGUUGGAAGAAAUUGCUGAUGAAGUCUUACUAUUGUUGGCUGAUGGAGAAACUUAUACACCAUCUGUAGCUCAGCAAAUACCUGACUCUACUCGAAGUUUGGUAACAUGUACUACAGGCGAUGUACUUCAACCCAGCAGGAGUGCAAGUGACAACGAAAAGGCAAGCACAAGUUCAAGUGAGACAGAGGCAUAUGCCAGUCACAAAUCAUGUAACACAUUAUCAUUGCCUCUGCCAGAACUCUCACGGGCAACCCGAGAUGACUUACAACAGGGAGAUAAAUCAAGACGGGUCUUGUUGCAGCUGAUAGAAGAAUCCAAGAACUACUACAUGAAGUAUUGCCCUCUGCUUGAUGAAA